Long non-coding RNA from Equus caballus (horse), 5673 nucleotides. NCBI's taxonomy places the organism in Eukaryota, Metazoa, Chordata, Mammalia, Perissodactyla, Equidae. The record is from Ensembl.
AUUUUAUAUGUGGGACACCUGCCACAGCAUGGCUUGAUGAAUGGUGCUAGGUCUGUGCCUGGGAUCCAAACUGGUGAACCCUGGGCUGCUGAAGCAGAGCACGUGAAUUUAACCACUACGCCACUGGGCUGGCCCCUAAUUUUUCUUUUGAGAGAGGAUCUUAUGUAGUGAUAGAAGUAGGGCAGGAGUUCAGAAUUUCAGAUCACCUAUGUGGUCAGAUUUGUCACUGAGCCUUCAAAUAACUUCAGAGGUGUUGAAGGAGAAUAGAUUGGCCGAUUAGCCAAAGCCCUCGCGGCAGCUGCCUCUGAUAUUUGGCCUUUCGAGAUCUUCCUAACUGACCCCUUCUAGACGGUGUGUUCUCCGUUAGGGCAACCGACUGCUUCAGAAUGAGGCUCCGCUAACUGCCCAUGCUCUCUCCUUCAGAGAAGUUGGUGGGAAUUUUAAACGAACCCUAUAAAGAGUAUCCUUUGAAUGAAUUGAGAAUCAAGACUAAAGAGUGCAGCAAAUGUGUCUCCUUUAGUACGUGUGAUAUAUGGAACAGGACCAGAUCAUGGACUCCAGCCCACAUGGACUGCAUUUGAACCCCAGGUCUGCCACUUCCUGGCAGUGUCAUCAAGGGAAAGCUGCUUACACUAUCUGUGUCUCAUAUUCCCAAAUGUAAAAUGCAGACAACAAGGGUAACCUACGACCAAAGUCUGCUGUGAGGAAUUUUAUAUAUAUAUGACUCUAGAAAGCGCUGAGGGGAAAAAAGUGUCCAGCACAUCAUCAUCAGUGUCAAGUCUCAGCAGGCCCUGCCCCGGCCGGCCUCACCCACAGAGGGCCUAAGCAGGCAACCCUUGCAGUAGAGAGGCUCGGAGAAUUCUCCUCUCUGUGGGCAGCUUGUCCCCAAGAAGACAAAAGAUAGUGGCUGAGCUGAGCAUGCCCUGUUCAAUCUUAUCAGGAUAAUACUGCAACAAAAAUACUAUUAAACAGAAUAUACUGUUGAAGAAAUCCAGAAAGUGCAAGACGCUGACUGACGUAGACUGCAUUUCCCAGGCUUCUAGCUGGGUUCAGCAAAGAAGAAGCGAAUGGAUUGGAAGUGGAGCCAGAAAGGAGACGAAGGAGAGGUUGUGAUCUGAUGGAGAUGAGCUGGGAAAAUUGACUUUGGCACUCUGGCCCAUGGAAGGAAAUGAACCAUAUGUGCAAGGCUGUGGAAAGUUGAAGCCAAUCCCUGACCUGAAGAAAGAUACAUACAUGGGGAUUCUGAAAGUGUAGCCAAGGAGAUGAAAUCUGGGAACAGGCUGGCUUUCAAUGGAUUGAAAGCAUUUAAUCUUUGCAGCUUUUCCAGGAAAUGCUGCCUUAACAUUGGCUUUUUCAAAUGCUUUUGUUUUCUGGCUUUCCUGGGGUUGAGAGUAGUUUGCUUGUUGGAUUAGGUCGUGGGCUUUUGUGAUGUAAAUGAUGUUAAUAUUCGGCCAAAGGCAGACUUCGCGUUCUUUGGCAACAUUUCCUUAGGAUUCCACAAAAGAAAUCAGAGACCUGCAGACUUCCACAUUGUGUCAGAGUGGGACUGUUUGUUCAUUUUUUGGGAAGAACGCAGUCAUUGGCCAUUAAGCCAGGGCUGUUCCGGUUUUGUACACUCAUUUGUGGAACUUCCCAGGAACCAAAUCUUGCUUUGGUAUUGUGCUACUAUCUCUUAUCAGAAAAAAGGGCACAAUUCAAAUACUUCACAAACCUUUCCUCUGACCUCUUUUAACUGAAUUUUUAUAGGGAAGAUUUAUAUAGCUGUAGAAUUCUUUCUAUAUUUCAUACAUAAAUUCCUUUUUCUAGUUAAUUUUCAACCUCCAAUAUGAUUUCAAAUACCAAAACAAGGCUCAAGAUUGUAUAGCAGCAGGUCUCCAAUUUAUCAAUUAUUUGGAUUUGUCUUUUAUAACCUGUAAGAUGGAUUUCGGGAAAAAUUCCGUAAGUCCUGAAAGACCAGGGACCCAAGGUUGUAUGUUAAUCGAUAAAAGUGGAAGUGCUGAGGGCAGGUGUGGUUCUAUUAUUAGUUCUCUGAGUAGCUAGUCUAAGACAGAGAGGCAUCCUAGGCACCAGGAAUUCAGAGCUGAGGGUCUUAGUUCUCAAAAAGUUUAUAAAAGAGCCAGAAUUUAAGAACUAAAAUUCCACUUGUUUGCCUUCUUAAUGCCUCAGUUUCCUCAUUGGUCAAACAGGUCCUUGUGAAAUCAUGAUAGUAAUAAUAGCCAGCAUUUAUUGCGUGUUCCUCCAUGCAGUGUUUUAAGCAGACACCAUGUAUUAACUUACUAAAUCUUCCAAAUAAUCCUGUGAUAUAGGUCCUUGUGUCCUCUGUCCCAAAUCUCUUGAGUGCUUCCUACCUCUCUGCGGAGUAGCUCCAGGUUGUCUCGGUUCUGGUGGAGUGACUCUAGGUCAUAUUUCAUUGUGGGCAAUGGCUUCUGCAAUCCAUGGAAUUUUCUGAAACUUGCUUCUAAGUUUGGGAAGACCUUCCACAUACUGGCAGAAAGCCCCCAAGCAUUUUUUUUAAAGGGGCUUUGGGUCAAAAAGAGGUAAUGAAUAUGUUCUUGGAUUUAGUUGUCUAUGGAGGGAGUUGUUGAUCAAUGCAAGUGUCUCGAGUACUAUAUAUGACAAUAAACGAAGAUCAAUUUCCAAUUCUAUACCUUACAAACCUAUGCAGAUUUAGUCACUUCUCAUAUUUUUCAGGAAAGUUAGCUUUGAAAACUUAGCACUCCAUCCACGGCUAGCAUGCGGCCACAAAAGCUGUCUAAGCCCCCAGACUGGGGUCCCUGCUGACCAUGAGCUGACCCAGCACAGAGCCCUACUUUCCACAGCAACAGUGACUAUUCACCAGUCUCUCGAUUACAGUAUCAACUUUCUGGAGGAAGACUAGAAAAGAAUCAUACUCCUCUUAUUCCCAGAUGCGUCUGAAACAAGGCACAAUGGUAGUCAUUAACAAUAAAGAGGAGGCUAAUUUGCUUCCCUCUAAAUCUGAAUGCUAAUGCAACCGUCUAAACAGUGCCAACAAUGGAAAUAAACAGAAGACUGAGUUAAACCACAAAUGUACAGGCCUGUACCAGUUGGCAAAACAUAAGAGCCAGCAGUAUUGAAAUAAUAGCAACUAACGCUUGUGUGUAAAAUGAAUCAUAGGACUGUAUCGGGCCAGCAGAGCAAUUUAUCAAAUUGGGCAAUGUGACCCUAGAGAUAGGAAUAUGUCCCAUUUGAAAUCAGAGACUGUGAUUUCAUAACGUUUCUUAGAAAUCAUCUGAAUUCUUAAAACUCCUAUAGCCCAAAUGGCCUUCCUUGUUCUCGACAUUCUGCAAUCCUGAGGUACUGAGGUUGGGGAGGCCGUCUCCCGCAAUGUGGACGUGAGCUCCCAGGGGAAGAGAAGAGGGUGGUAUGGUGAGGAGCCCUUCAGUCUGUCCUGUGCCACAGCAGAGGAACAAUGGGGCUUUUCUUCUGCCUGGCAUGGUUUCUAUACAUUUUAUUAACCCUAAAUUGUAUACCAUUCCUCAUGCUCCCACAAGGUAGAAAUGGACAAUGGUUUCUAGAUCAUCUCUCUGCAAACAAGUGAACUUUGUAUGUGUAAGUAAAACACGGCAUUCUGCAUUAAGCUUCUCGUGCCUUAGACUGAGCAGGCCCCGUUGUGCCUCAGCCAAGUGUUUUUGCGUUUGCCCUGGAUGCAUCCCUUCACACGAGGCAUGUCUUUGUGUGGGGGUUAGUGUAGCUCAUGGGAGCUGUGGUGUUGACAUUUGGGGCCAGUCACUUGCAGGUUGUGUAACCCCAUGCAAAUUAUUUAAUUUCUCUGUACCUCAACGUCAUCAUUUGGAAAAUGAGUGUGAUGAUUUACCUCAUAGGAUUAUUGUAUGUCUUAAAGAAGAUUGUAUGUGCUUAUACAUUUUACCUUGUAAUGUGUCUGGUAUUAAUUGUUUCUCAACAAAGAGUUUUCCCACUAUUAGUACUGAGACCCAGUGCUGCCCCACAGACUUAGAUGGGGGCAUAGGAUAUCUGUUUAUAAAACAGUGAGUAAGCAGGGCUUCUUUUCCACCUUCUCAAGCUGCAAGUCAUUUCUCUCUUCUCCAGGUCCCUGUGUCAGUUUGUCGUCAUCAGAAGAGAUUGCUAGGGAGCCUGCAUGGGACUCUCACAGGCACAGGACCAGGGAGACCAAAGUCUACUCCAGACUUUCCCAUUUCUUUGUUGGCUGGCCUUGGCCAUAUUCCUUAACUCUUUGGAGUCUCUACUUCCUCAUCUAUAAAAUGGGAAUAAUAUCAUAAUUCCCUCCCAGGAUAUUUGUGAGGAUCAAAGAGAUCAUGAAACAUUAGAAUAUUGAAAUUUGCUAUAAAACACGAGGCAUUAUUAAUAUUGUGCUGUAGUUAUUUAUGAUUGUAUCUUAUGCCUCAAACUAAACAGAAAGAUUCACAGCAGAGUAACUUGAACUACCAGUUUUCAGAGGCAGUGAGCUAGGGAGGGAGACUCACGGUGAGAAAUAUGGCAGAGCAGCUAUUGGAUAAGCAUUUCUAGUCCAUCACUCUAUCCACUGAGGCUCGUUGCCUUUUUCUAUAUUAAUUAUUUUGACUUUUCCAAGGAGGAUCCAACUAAGGGGGAAAUGGACAGUUGAGAUCAUAAGGCAAGAUUUCCAAGAUCCAGCCAGGAAGGGUAUACAAUAAUGGGCAAUCAAAAACAAUGAAAUUUAAGUUACCUGCUUGUUGAGGUGAGUUCUGAGCUAUGAUGUUAUAUGCAAUGCAUUUAUCCUCUGUUCCCAGGACAAAGAAACUCAAACCAAAACCAACAAAGGAAAAAAUGCUCAUUCACCAAGAACCAACCCAACCAUCAACAACUCCCCUCCCCAACAGCAUAAGAGCCAACACAAAUCACAAGUAGUUUUAAGUUGCGGCUGCCUAGAUGGCACAGAAUUAAAAAGAUCUCUCUGAUGCCUAGGUCACAAGCCUUCAAUUAUGGACAGCCACAAUCCACAGCUCUGACUGCAUGUGUGUCUGGUGCCCUUACAUUGGGCACCCAAGAGAAAAUGGCAAUGCUUAUUGAUAACUGUCGCACAUUCCUUCAAAGGCUAGGAAGGGAGGGUCGUUCUUAUUUAUUACCACCCCUUAUGUUUCUAACGGGGUUCUGAUCUGGAGUAACCUCAAUGCCAAAGUUCUUUAGAGUGAUGUUUUGUUAAGAUAUAUAGUGUUCCGACUUGAAAUUCAUGAGCAAAAAUAAUUUACACAUAAGAUCCAAGAGAUCUGCGAAUAUUUUGUUUGCCUCCAGCCACAUCGCUAAGGAAAAUUAUUAACCAUUUUUAAACAUCCAGUUUGCUCAUGUAAGGAGCCUCUUGAUGAUUACAAAUUCUGAGAGACUGCUCUUGUGACUUUGAAUUGAGGCUCAUAUUUGAAACCACAGUCUUAAGAUGUCUUCCAACUAAGAGACCUACUGGCCUCUAGUGCCCCAGUUUCAGCUGUUCUGGAAAACACAGUGUCAUUCCUCUAAGCUCCCAUUCCCAGGCACUCCAAAGUGAAUCUCUUAAAUAGUCUGUAGCUUAUAAUUUGUCAGACCAUCCCGACAUACUAUCCACCCAGUGGUUUUCACAUGGUGUAGUAACUUCAUUUUUAUUUAUAGAGAUUUCAUGAGUAAAAGGACCCAGAUGACAGUGGUUAAAAAGCAUAUCUGAAAGCUCAGUUUCAAUAAAAUGAC